CCCAAAAUUGUAAACAACUUUCCAAUUCACUUCUAUUAUCAUUUUUCUUUUCAUUGUCUUGUUAUCCUUUGUUAAAAAGCAGGGACUUAAGCUCAGGAGUGUGCACGUGUCUGCAGUACUAUAUGGCAGCAGUUUUGCUACAAUGUUAUACAUUAGCAAGAGCACUAGAUGUCGGCAUUAUCUCCUGUCAGGUAGUGCUUUAGGCACGUGCACGCUACCUAUCUAGAUAUCGCUUUGACAAAGAAUAGCAUGAGAAUGAAGCAAAUUUGAUAAUAGAAGUAAAUUAGAACGUUUUUUUUUUAAUUCUAUUUUCUAUCUGAUUAAUGAAAGAAAAAAAUUGGGUUUCAUGUAUAUUUUUUAUUAAAAAGUUGUAUAAAUGCAUGUAAUACUUUAUUUUAAUGUGUUUUUCAUGUGUUUUGUGCAACAUUAUUUUUAUACCUUAAAGUUUACUUCAGGUCUCAAGUUGCGCUAAAUAUUCUAGCACAGUUUCGGAUUUUGCUCGAACACAAACUAUGACUUUCAACUUGUAAUAUGAGUGUGAUAUCCAUUUAAAGUAUAGUUUGCAGUUGAUCGAAGUCAGCUGCGCUAGCCAGAGCUUUACCAUGGACUUGUAAUAUCAAGUUGUGCGCUAAUCUUCGCAUGUUACAGUGAUAUUGUGGCCCGCUCUAUUAUUAGCGUGUCACGUGUAAUCUGGUUCUUUUUCAGUAGGACAUAAUGGUACUCAAAGUAUAUUAUCUGGAGUUUUAAAUUAGCGACCAGGUCAAAGCUGAAAUUAUAUUUUGAACUGGAUGUAUAUGCUUAUUUUGAUAAAUUCAGUAUAAUACUAUGUACAUAGAAUGUUAAUUUAUUGCAUUUAUUGACCCCUGACUUUAAUGUGUAGUUUCAGAUGUUUUAAUUAUUUUUUAUUCUGAUGUACAUGUAAUUAAUCAUUGAUCAUUUUCAAGGGUGCAUUUUACUUAAACAUGACCAUUAGCUUUGAUAUAAAUACUUGGGAUUUUUUUUUCGGUGAGGGGGGGGGUUAUCCAAAUCAGUUGAUUCUGUUCUAGGGAAGUAUACAAUGAUCAAGAAUAUAGCAUUAUUAUUAUUAUUAUCUAGUUCAGCCAGGAGGUACCAAAAGAACAAUUGACAAAGUCUAUUUAAAACAGUUUAUCACUAUGUUAUUUUACCUUUGAAUAAGCUCAUUAUCAUCACAAAAUUAGUAUCAUUACUGUGAUAAGUUGUAGACUCUCUUUUUUGUUAUAAAUUGGAAAAAAAACUUUUUGAACUGUAAAUGUGGCUGAGAAUGUGGUGCUUGUUUAUUGGUGAUGUUUACCUGCAAAGUUUUACCUGUGUUCCUGAAAACCCAUCUCUUAAUGACAUUCGGCUAGAUUACGAGUUGCGCAGUAAGCUUAAAAAGCAGCGUUAACAGGUCCUAACGCUGCUUUUUUACGCCCGCUGGUAUUACGAGUCUUGCAGGUAUAGGUGUACCGCACACUUUUUUGGCCUUACCACAAACCAGCUUACGUAAAUUUCGUAAAGCCUUUUUUCUAUGGGACUUCCAUAGCGCCGGUAUUACGAGUUUAUCCUGGGAGGCCAAAAAGUAAGCGGUACACCCUCUACCGCCAAGAUUCAUUUUAAAGUCAGUAGUUAUAUACAACGCUGUAACAUAAAACUCAUAACUAAAGUGCUACAAAGCCAAUAGGAUUGAGCUCGCAUUCUAUUGGCUGUUCCAAUCAACCAAUGGAAUGCAAGCUCAAUCCUAUUGGCUGAUCCAAUCAGCCAGUAGGAUUUUUUCAACCUUAAUUCCGAUUGGCUGAUAGAAUUCUUAUCCAGUUCAGCCAGGAGGUACCAAAAGAGCAAUUGACAAAGUCUAUUUAAAACAGUUGAUCACUAUCUUAUUUUACCUGUGAAUAAGCUCCUUAUCGUCACAAAAUUAUCCAGUUCAGCUAGGAGGUACCAAAAGAGCAAUUGACAAAGUCUAUUUAAAACAGUUGAUCACUAUGUUAUUUUACCUGUGAAUAAGCUCAUUAUCAUCACAAAAUUAGUAUCAUUACUGUGAUAAGUUGUAGACUCUCUUUUUUGUUAUAAACUGGAAAAAAAACUUUUUGAACUGUAAAUGUGGCUGAGAAUGUGGUGCUUGUUUAUUGGUGAUGUUUAUCUGCAAAGUUUUACCUGUGUUCCUGAAAACCCAUCUCUUAAUGACAUUCUGCUAGAUUACGAGUUGCGCGGUAAUCUUAAAGGGACAGUCUAGUAUAAAUUAAACUUUCAUUAUUCAGCUAGGACUUGUAAUUUUAAUCAACUUUCCAAUUUACUUUUAUCAUCAAAUUUGCUUUUUUCUCUUGGUAUUCUUAGUUUAAACUAAAUAUAGGUAGGCUCAUAUGCUAAUUUCUAAGCCUUUGAGGGCUGCCUCUUAUCAUAUGCUUUUUAAAUCUCUUUUCAACACAAAGAGACAGAAAGUACACGUGGGCCAUAUAGAUAACACUGUGUUCAGGCACAGGGGGUUAUUUAAGAUCUAGCACGAAACAAUGCUAAAUUUAAGACACUAGAUAAUAAACAGUCACAGUCAUGUGAUCAGGGGGCUGGAAGAAGGUUCUUAGAUACAAGGUAAUCACAGAGGUAAAAAGUAUAUUAAUAUAACUGUGUUGGUUAUGCAAAACUGGGGAAUGGGUAAUAAACAGAUUAUCUAUCUUUUAAAACAAUAACAAUUCUAUGGUAGACUGUCCCUUUAAAAAGCAGCGUUAAUAGGUCCUAACGCUGCUUUUUUACGCCCGCUGGUAUUACGAGUCUUGCAGGUAUAGGUUACACUUUUUUGGCCUUACCGCAAACCAUCUUACGUAAAUUUCGUAAAGCCUUUUUUUCUAUGGGACUUCCAUAGCGCCGGUAUUAAGAGUUUGUCCUGGGAGGCCAAAAAGUGAGCGGUACACCCUCUACCGCCAAGAUUCCUAACGCAUUUUAAAGUCAGUAGUUAUGAGUUUUAUGUUACAACGCUGUAACAUAAAACUUAUAACUAAAGUGCUACAAAGCCAAUAGGAUUGAGCUCAUAUUCUAUUGGCUGUUCCAAUCAACCAAUGGAAUGCAAGCUCAAUCCUAUUGGCUGAUCCAAUCAGCCGGUAGGAUUUUUUCAACCUUAAUUCCAAUUGGCUGAUAGAAUUCUAUCAGCCAAUCGGAAUCUAAGGGACGCCAUCUUGGAUGAUGUCAUUUAAAGGAACCUUCAUUCAUCGUUAGUCCGUCGGAAGAAGAGGAUGCUCCGCACCGGAUGUUUUGAAGAUGGACCCGCUCCACGUCAGAAGGAUGAAGAUAGAAGAUACCUUCUGGAUGAAGACUUCUGCCUAUCUGGAGGACCACUUCUGCCCGUCUGGAGGACCACUUCUGCUGGCUUCGUUGAGGACAUCUUGCCGCUUGGAUGAAGACUUCUCCCGGUAAGUGAAUCUUCGGGGGUUAGUGUUAGGUUUUUGUAAGGGUGUAUUGGGUGGGUUUUAUUUUUAGGUUAGGGCUUUGGGCAGCAAUAGAGCUAAAUGCCCUUUUAAGGGUAAAAUCCAUCCAAAUGCCCUUUUCAGGGCAAUGGGGAGCUUAGGUUUUUUUAGUUAGGCUUCUAUUUGGGGGGUAGGUUGUGUGGGUGGUGAGUUUUACUGUUGGGGGGUUGUUUGUAUUUUUUUUACAGGUAAAAGAGCUGAUUUCUUUGGGGCAAUGCCCCGCAAAAGGCCCUUUUAAGGGCUUUUGAUAGUUUAGUUUAGGCUAGGGUUUUUUUUUAUUUUGGGGGGCUUUUUUAUUUUGAUAGAGCUCUUAGAUUAGGUGUAAUUAGUUUAAAGAUCUUGUAAUUUGUUUUUUAUUUUCUGUAAUUUAGUGGGGGUUUUUGUAAUUUAGCUAAUUUUAUUUAAUUUAUUUAAUUGUAUUUAAUUUAGGUAAUUUAUUUAAUUGUAGGGUUAGGUUAGGUGUUAGUGUAACUUAGGUUAGGUUUUAUUUUACAGGUAAAUUUGUAUUUAUUUUAGCUAGGUAGUUAUUAAAUAGUUAAUAACUAUUUAAUAACUAUUCUACCUAGUUAAAAUAAAUACAAACUUGCCUGUAAAAUAAAAAUAAACCCUAAGCUAGCUACAAUGUAACUAUUAGUUAUAUUGUAGCUAGCUUAGGGUUUAUUUUAUAGGCAAGUAUUUAGUUUUAAAUAGGAAUAAUUUAGGUGAUAAUAGUAGGUUUUAUUUAUAUUUAUUUUAAUUAUAUUUAAGUUAGGGGGUGUUAGGGUUAGACUUAGAUUUAGUGGUUAAUAAAUUUAAUAUAGUGGUGGCGACGUUGAGGGCAGCAGAUUAGGGGUUAAUAAAUGUAGGUAGGUGGUGGUGAUGUUGGGGACAGCAGUUAGGGGUUAAUAAUACUUAACUAAUGUUUGCGAGGUGGGAGUGUCGCGGAUUAGGGGUUAAUAUGUUUAUUAUAGUGGCGGCGAUGUCGGAAGAUUAGGGGUUAAUAAGUAUAAUGUAGGUGUCGGCGAUGUCAGGGGUGGCAGAUUAGGGGUUAAUAAGUGUAAGAUUAGGGGUGUUUAGACUCGAGGUUCAUGUUAGGGUUUUAGGUGUAAACAUAAAUUGAGUUUCCCCAUAGGAAUCAAUGGGGCUGCGUUACUGAGUUUUAUGCUGCUUUAUUGCAGGUGUUAGACUUUUUCUCAGCCGGCUCUCCCCAUUGAUGUCUAUGGGGAAAUCGUGCACGAGCACGUACGACCAGCUCACCGCUGACUUAAGCAGCGCUGGUAUUGGAGUGCGGUAAGGAGCACAAUUUUGCUCUACGCUCACUUCUUGCCUUUUAACGCCGUGUUUGUAAAAACCUGCAAUACCAGCGCUGUAGGUAAGUGAGCGGUGACAAUAACGUGCACGUUAGCAACGCACCCCUCUUACCGCAAAACUCAUAAUCUGGACGAUUGUUUGCAACGGAGCCUCAAAGAAUGUGAAAUCGGCUUACUGCAGUUACAUCCCUUUCUGUACUGUUCCAUUGUAAUUACAUUGUACUUGAUAAGUAUUCACAUGGCUAUCUAAAAUAAAAAAAGAUGGUCAGUGUUGUUGCUGGCUGUUUACGUUUUUGUGUUUUUUUGUUUUUUUUUACACAGUUUAAAAGUUACAAAAAAUAUAUUUUAAAAGUCCUGAGGAAAACAUAAAGCAUUGCAGCCACUGCAGAAAUUGAAAGCCCCUGCUCUUUAUAGUGCAUGGCAACCUGAAGCAUAUAGUAACACAUUUUAUAAAAAAGCUGCCACUGAUCUGGGAAUGGGCGCCAUUUCUGUCACAGGGAUUUAAUAUACAUGAGAUUUGGCAGUACCUAGCAUUAGGAUUUGGAGCUACACCAACUAACACCUGUAAGUGGUUAAAACAUAAGAAUGGCUCUGAAAAGAAAUGCAGGCACAGGAGGAAUACAAGAGAAUGGUGAUUGGUGGCCGUUCUUUUGUAGCCAGCAUUCUACUGUACCUUUAUGAUUUAUAGUAUAAGAUACUGAUUGCCAUAAUGAUAAGAAAAGGGUUACUUGUUUGUAGUAGGGGGUUCCUUUUAGGUAGCCAUGUGAAAACUUUCAAAUAGCGAGAUGACAAAAAUGUAUUUAAAACAAAGAAGGACAGACAAAGAGCAGCAAGAGUGGAAUAGUUGGACUGAGCCACCAAUUUAUGAUAAUCCUAAAAAAUUCAGUAACUUUGGGAGCCUUACAGUUUUCCCAAUUGCAUUUUAUUUUAUAAGGUAAUUUCUCUUCUCCACACUAUUGCCUGUGAUUGACUUAUUAUUUCACUGCAGUUUUAGGAUGUCUGGGCAACGUGUGUAUUGAGAGUCCACAAGUCAGUACUCCUGGGUAUUCCCCUCCUGGCCACUAGAAGGAGGCAAAGAUUCCCAAGAACACUUAAACCCUCCUACUUCACUAGUAAACAAGUCUUAUCUUUGCCUCCACAUGAGGAAGGUGAAGAAUGGAGGUUCUCCAGUUUCUUCAUUGAGAGGGGUCCUUAGACUGAUUAGAGGACAUUUUCCCUGAUAGCUGCUACUUGAAACAGAGGGGAGUUUGGCGUAUUGGGUAAUGACAUAAUUACCCCCAGUAAGGAGUUAGUUACAAACCUAACACUUUUGUUGUGGGGACCUGUCCCUUAGCCUCCUCCUUUUGACUUACUACACAUUUAGAUCAUCUGCUGUCAAGCGUACAGCACUGGAUAGGCUAUCUAUUGGAAAUGGGAACAGUUUUUUUCUGAAGCAGUGGAGUGGGUGCUUGUAAGAUGAGCUUUCAAAAUGGAAACAAUUCGGACUAUUAUUUACCUCUUGCUCACAUGGCAAUUGUUUCUGUAUUUUUAAACUCCAGUCUUAAAGGUUCACUAAUAUGUAAUGUGAGACCUUGCUGUAUGUCUGAAUGUAUAGCUGGCAGAAACGAGACUGGAUUCUAUGAUGGACUUACAGAAGUGUUUGAUUUUGGGCUUUGACCAUUAGCCAAUCAGAACUUUUCCACACCGGAGGCGUGCCAAACCCGCCACUCUUAAAAAGGAUACAUCUAUUACAAUGGAAUCAUCUCUUGAUAAAGUCGGGUCGUAACCUGAUGAAACGCGUAGAGUGUACUUUAGGUUUGAACUAGAGAGGAACAGCGAACAACGGCUUCAGACAGUGAGCCCGUGACGCUGUGUCUACCAAAACAAUUUCCAGUGGCGUCCAAGGUUUUCCCGGCAACAGCUCGAUUGGUUUGCGGACGCAGAGAGGAGCAGGAGAAAGACUAGCCUCUCCAGAGCUCAUACGGAGGACUCACACUAUUGGUGAUUUGUUUGUACCUGCAAUUUAUCUGUUUUAUGUACGUUCUUUUUAUGCACACCCAUAUGUGUUUUAUCUCCAGCUGAUUUUGGAAUAAACGGCUUUUAUGUUCAGAGGUGGUUGCGCUCUGUCUUUUCUGUUUUUUAUGCUAAUGUAAUAUGUGGUGUUAGUACUUUAAUUUAACCACCUAAAAUUAAAGGGUUAUAAAAGUGCAAACAAUAUAUUUUUUUCUAAUGUAUUUAUAAAUGCACUAUUUCCUGUUUUUAAUUAUGUGUUUACAUAUAAAGUCCGUUCCAGAGCAGCAAUGCACUAAUGGAAGCAUGUUUGGUGACCCAAUGGCAAGGGACAUAUGUCUGUAGCCAUCAAUCACCAGCUAGAUCGCAGGAGUGUAUUGCUGCUUCUGAGGCUACCUAGGUAUCAUUUAUUUGUUAGUAUCAUUUAUUUGUAUAGCGCUGCCAAAUUCAACAAAAGAUACAAAGAGAACAAAGUUAAGUUGGUCAUUACUUCAAAUUGAAAAGUCUUUUAAAAUUGCAUGCUCUGUCUGAAAAAUGGAAGUUUAAUUUUGAGUUUCAUGACCCUUUAAGCAGGGAUAUGUUGAUAAUUUUGUCUUAUUUUGGUCUCUGGGAACUGUGUGCUGCAAAAACAAAACAAAAAAACAACAACUUAUUCUUGAUACCAGAGCAAACAGCCAUUGUGUGUUUAUCUUGGAAGUACUGGUAGACGGCCCCAUAUCAAAGAGCAAUAUCUUCUUUUCACUGCAAGCCUGUUAAAGUAUUUAAAAGCAUGACAGAAAGUCAUUUAAACUGUGAGCUCUUGAAACCAACGACAAUGAACUAUUCACAAGACUAAACAAGACUAAAUAAGCCACACGUUCAUUUGCAUUUCCACUGGCCAGAAGACACACUGCCAAUCUAUUAAACCCAGCUGGUAUUGCCAGAAAAUCAACAAGUCAGUUCUAAGCUACAUCUCCCUAUCAAUAUCACACCAGUGAGUAUCAAGGAGUUGCAUAAGGAAGGAGAAUCUGCUUUUAUCUGCAUUUUGGACAUUGAGACACACUGAUUGUCAAAGAGACACUACCUGCAAAAAAAGAGGCUUGAAUGCAUUCUGCAAGACUCAGAACCUGACCAUACAACAUGCUAUGCAGUGAUUACUUCGUGAACAAACUCAUGAAUAUCUGUCCCUAAUUGACCACAGAAAAAAAAUAAAGAUAUGAAAAAUACGCUCAUGGGGCUUUUCAAGAGCUAUUUCCCUGCGCUGUAAAACAAUGCAACUUUUAAUAACUAAAUAACUUUACAUGCAAAUAAAAACGUAUAUUUAUUAUACAUA
Molecule: long non-coding RNA, 8042 nt
Organism: Bombina bombina (fire-bellied toad)
Lineage: Eukaryota; Metazoa; Chordata; Amphibia; Anura; Bombinatoridae
Exons: 3
Source: RefSeq, a predicted model, not a curated record